Molecule: small nuclear RNA, 157 nt
Filed under: Suricata suricatta (meerkat)
Lineage: Eukaryota; Metazoa; Chordata; Mammalia; Carnivora; Herpestidae
Description: U2 spliceosomal RNA (ENSSSUG00005014243.1)
Rfam family: U2 spliceosomal RNA
About the family: U2 is a small nuclear RNA (snRNA) component of the spliceosome (involved in pre-mRNA splicing). Complementary binding between U2 snRNA (in an area lying towards the 5' end but 3' to hairpin I) and the branchpoint sequence (BPS) of the intron results the bulging out of an unpaired adenosine, on the BPS, which initiates a nucleophilic attack at the intronic 5' splice site, thus starting the first of two transesterification reactions that mediate splicing.
Source: Rfam by way of RNAcentral
AUUGCUUCUCGGCCUUUUGGCUAAGAUCAAGUGUAGUAUCUGAGGAAGGUGAGAAGGAACUGAGAUUAACAAUGAGUGUAAAGAGGGCUUCGCGUGUCUGUAAUGCACUGUAUGUUAAAAGAAGAAUGAAUUCAUUUUUGUAUCUAUGUGAUUGCUA